This 334-nucleotide long non-coding RNA is filed under the name Lupinus angustifolius (narrow-leaved blue lupine). Its description in RNAcentral is "long non-coding RNA (LANG_LNC002139)". Lineage: Eukaryota; Viridiplantae; Streptophyta; Magnoliopsida; Fabales; Fabaceae. The record is from RNAcentral.
CCAUAUUCAAAUAGCUUGUGUCUCCAAAUUCUGGCAAUACACCAACCUCGUCUUUGGUUUGAACUUUUCACCCCAAGUUCUGGUAGUACACCAACCUGCGUUCUUGGCUUUUACCCUUGUGUCUUCAAAUUCUGGCCAUACACCAACUUGCAUCUUUGGCUUUACCUUUCAAUUCAAAUUCUAGCACUACACCAAUUUGCGUCUUUAGUUUCACCUUUUUACUCCAAAUUCUGGCAGUACACCAACCUGUGUCUUUGGUUUCACAUUUUUACUCCAAAUUCUGGCAGUACACCAACAUGCGUCUUGGGUUUCACCUUUUUAAUCCAAAUUCUGG